RNAcentral lists this unclassified non-coding RNA (400 nucleotides) under uncultured fungus. RNAcentral's name for it is "sequence contains ITS1". The stretch from base 1 to 109 matches the Rfam family "5.8S ribosomal RNA", at positions 50 to 154 of the family's 154-position model. Lineage: Eukaryota; Fungi. The record is from RNAcentral.
GAAAUGCGAUACGUAAUGUGAAUUGCAGGACUCAGUGAAUCAUCAAAAUCUUGAACGCACAUGGCGCCCUCGAACCUCCGGGCUCUGGGGCAUAUCUGUUUGAGUGUCACAUAACAUCCUCACACACAAACAUUUAUUUGUUUGCUACAGUGUGGACGAUGACCGUUAUGCGACGACACUACUCGUGUCGACGUACAUCGGUUUAAGUUGAGUGGUGAGCGGUUGCUGGAGACUCUCCGCACACACAGUGACUGGGUAGUUGUGUCUAACACACACUAGUCGACUGGACCGUGCGGGCUCAUAGAGUCACCGGCUUGGCCGUGCGCCUCACACCGGCGCGGCGUUCGUACGCUGCCUACCCUUAUGACCUCAAAUCAGGUAAGAUUACCCGCCGAAUUUA